UCUCUGAUUUCUACUGACCUG
This 21-nucleotide non-coding RNA is filed under the name Arabidopsis thaliana (thale cress). The record is from RNAcentral. Lineage: Eukaryota; Viridiplantae; Streptophyta; Magnoliopsida; Brassicales; Brassicaceae.